This 465-nucleotide ribosomal RNA is filed under the name uncultured bacterium. Its description in RNAcentral is "bacterial SSU rRNA". It matches the Rfam family "Bacterial small subunit ribosomal RNA", at positions 338 to 795 of the family's 1533-position model. The record is from RNAcentral.
CCUANGGGGGGCAGCAGUGGGGAAUUUUGGACAAUGGGCGCAAGCCUGAUCCAGCCAUGCCGCGUGCGGGAAGAAGGCCUUCGGGUUGUAAACCGCUUUUGUCAGGGAAGAAACGGUCUGCACUAAUACUGUGGACUAAUGACGGUACCUGAAGAAUAAGCACCGGCUAACUACGUGCCAGCAGCCGCGGUAAUACGUAGGGUGCGAGCGUUAAUCGGAAUUACUGGGCGUAAAGGGCAGGUAGGCGGCCUGACAAGUGGGGAGUGAAAUCCUGCGGCUUAAUCGCAGAACUGCUUUCCAAACUAUCGGGCUUGAGUGUGAGAGAGGAGAAUGGAACUCCUGGUGUAAGGGUGAAAUCUGUAGAGAUCAGGAGGAACACCAUUGGCGAAGGCGAUUCUCUGGAUCACAACUGACGCUGAACUGCGAAAGCUAGGGGAGAGAACAGGAUUAGAUACCCCUNUANUC